This 1375-nucleotide ribosomal RNA is filed under the name Vibrio parahaemolyticus. RNAcentral's name for it is "bacterial SSU rRNA". It matches the Rfam family "Bacterial small subunit ribosomal RNA", at positions 66 to 1434 of the family's 1533-position model. The record is from RNAcentral. Lineage: Bacteria; Pseudomonadati; Pseudomonadota; Gammaproteobacteria; Vibrionales; Vibrionaceae.
UCUGAACCUUCGGGGGACGAUAACGGCGUCGAGCGGCGGACGGGUGAGUAAUGCCUAGGAAAUUGCCCUGAUGUGGGGGAUAACCAUUGGAAACGAUGGCUAAUACCGCAUGAUGCCUACGGGCCAAAGAGGGGGACCUUCGGGCCUCUCGCGUCAGGAUAUGCCUAGGUGGGAUUAGCUAGUUGGUGAGGUAAGGGCUCACCAAGGCGACGAUCCCUAGCUGGUCUGAGAGGAUGAUCAGCCACACUGGAACUGAGACACGGUCCAGACUCCUACGGGAGGCAGCAGUGGGGAAUAUUGCACAAUGGGCGCAAGCCUGAUGCAGCCAUGCCGCGUGUGUGAAGAAGGCCUUCGGGUUGUAAAGCACUUUCAGUCGUGAGGAAGGUAGUGUAGUUAAUAGCUGCAUUAUUUGACGUUAGCGACAGAAGAAGCACCGGCUAACUCCGUGCCAGCAGCCGCGGUAAUACGGAGGGUGCGAGCGUUAAUCGGAAUUACUGGGCGUAAAGCGCAUGCAGGUGGUUUGUUAAGUCAGAUGUGAAAGCCCGGGGCUCAACCUCGGAAUUGCAUUUGAAACUGGCAGACUAGAGUACUGUAGAGGGGGGUAGAAUUUCAGGUGUAGCGGUGAAAUGCGUAGAGAUCUGAAGGAAUACCGGUGGCGAAGGCGGCCCCCUGGACAGAUACUGACACUCAGAUGCGAAAGCGUGGGGAGCAAACAGGAUUAGAUACCCUGGUAGUCCACGCCGUAAACGAUGUCUACUUGGAGGUUGUGGCCUUGAGCCGUGGCUUUCGGAGCUAACGCGUUAAGUAGACCGCCUGGGGAGUACGGUCGCAAGAUUAAAACUCAAAUGAAUUGACGGGGGCCCGCACAAGCGGUGGAGCAUGUGGUUUAAUUCGAUGCAACGCGAAGAACCUUACCUACUCUUGACAUCCAGAGAACUUUCCAGAGAUGGAUUGGUGCCUUCGGGAACUCUGAGACAGGUGCUGCAUGGCUGUCGUCAGCUCGUGUUGUGAAAUGUUGGGUUAAGUCCCGCAACGAGCGCAACCCUUAUCCUUGUUUGCCAGCGAGUAAUGUCGGGAACUCCAGGGAGACUGCCGGUGAUAAACCGGAGGAAGGUGGGGACGACGUCAAGUCAUCAUGGCCCUUACGAGUAGGGCUACACACGUGCUACAAUGGCGCAUACAGAGGGCGGCCAACUUGCGAAAGUGAGCGAAUCCCAAAAAGUGCGUCGUAGUCCGGAUUGGAGUCUGCAACUCGACUCCAUGAAGUCGGAAUCGCUAGUAAUCGUGGAUCAGAAUGCCACGGUGAAUACGUUCCCGGGCCUUGUACACACCGCCCGUCACACCAUGGGAGUGGGCUGCAAAAGAAGUAGGUAGU